This 66-nucleotide transfer RNA is filed under the name Patella ferruginea. RNAcentral describes it as "tRNA-Trp". The record is from RNAcentral. Lineage: Eukaryota; Metazoa; Mollusca; Gastropoda; Patellidae.
AGAAUUUUAGGUUAAUAAAAACUAUGAGCCUUCAAAGCCCACGAUAAGUUGUAAACUUAAAUUCUA